Helicoverpa zea (corn earworm) is the source of this 424-nucleotide long non-coding RNA. RefSeq lists it as uncharacterized. NCBI's taxonomy places the organism in Eukaryota, Metazoa, Arthropoda, Insecta, Lepidoptera, Noctuidae. The record is from RefSeq and is a predicted model, not a curated record. The transcript is spliced from 2 exons.
GAAAUAAAAGAUAAAUCAGAAGAGACGAGGAGACCGUGUGUAAUGUUCUGCAAAAUGGUAGUCAUUAUAGACAUCGAUAAGUUUUUGACUCGUGACGAUUUCAAGCUACUUGCAGAAGUGGAAUGGCCGUGGGAAAUUACACAUUUUCUGUUAAAUAAUAAUUGUGUUAACUGUGGUUUACAUACCAAUUAAUCUUUACCAAGGCACUUCAUCAUGCGCAAAAAAUAUAUGAUAUCUUUACCAAGCUUCAUUUUUUUCUGGUGUCGGGGCUGCGGUAUUAUGUCUAUUUAUGACCACUACAUCCCUGAUGAAUGUUAUUAUUGUGUUUAAUUAUUCUACCUAUUGGCUAAAACUUUUCGUACUACAAAUCCAUUAGGUAUUUUACUAUUUAUUAAUUAUAGAAAAAAUAAAUAUCUCUUAUUAA